Molecule: RNA transcript, 2959 nt
Organism: Cucumis melo (muskmelon)
Lineage: Eukaryota; Viridiplantae; Streptophyta; Magnoliopsida; Cucurbitales; Cucurbitaceae
Gene name: UDP-glucose 4-epimerase 1-like
Exons: 3
Source: RefSeq, a predicted model, not a curated record
UCAUCCUUGUGCGCUACUUUGUACUUAAAUUGUUCUCGUCGUUCUUUUUAGCUCUAAAUUUAUAUUUUUCAUAUGACUGACUACUGUUUUUGCAUUCUUGAAAUUUAGCAUGGUAGGGGCCCGAAACUGACAAAUGAAGAUAUUUGUAUGGACUGCCUUAUCGCUGGUGCUUGAAAUGUUGUUUGUGCUUACAGCUACAGGGACUGGAGAAUAUCAAUGAAAGAAAUUGCGUUAAGUGCACUUUCGGAAAUUAUCCAAAUGGAACAUAUGUUGUUUCUAGGACAUGAAGAAACUAUUUCGUCGAAUUAAACAAAAUACGAGUGAGGAAAGCUUCAGCUUGAGUUUUGGAAGCUGCAAUUAAAACCUUUCCAUUCCAGAGAGAAGAAAACAUGGUUACGGAAGGUCCGUAUGGAUCAAGAAAGAGUGAGAAAGAGCAAUACGAUCCUGCAAAACAGAAAACAAUUGCCCAUCUCAUUAAAAAUGUUCUAUGAAUUCUUUGAAGCCAUAAAAUUCAAAAGUAAACAGACAUGAAUUAGAUUCAUCUUCAUCCAGAUAGUGUUGGAUUAUGGUUGAUUCUAUUCGUGGUUGAUUAUUGAUAUUGGGCUGUGUUUCUUUUAGACUUUUCUAUUUGUUUGUGCAUCCAUUUUGUUGAAUUGAUUUGUGUUUUGUUUUCUUAACUACUGUGUUUCCUUUUGUACAUUAUAUGUAGAAUGCAUUUUGUAAAUGCAAUACAAUUUUGGUGUAAUCGAGUUCAUGUUUAGAAUAAUUAAAUUAGAGAGUUUCAGUUAUUUCUUGUGAUGAGAUCGCAUAGAAUGAAUUUAUAAUGAUAAAAGUUUGUUUCUACUACAUUUGGGUUUAGUCACACGAACAUUUAACUUGUGUGCUUUGCUAUUUGUUUAUGUUGAACUUGAACAAGUGGCUAUAUUGGUGAGGAUCCCUGCGGAAUCCCAAACAACCUCAUGCCCUUUGUACAACAAGUUGCUGUCGGCAGGCGUCCUGCCUUGACAGUCUUUGGAUCUGACUAUUCAACAAAAGAUGGAACCGAAGUAAGUUUAUCGUACGUGAUUAUCUUCACAUUGUUGAUUUAGCUGAUGGACACAUUGCUGCAUUGCGCAAGCUAGUUGCGGCUGGUAUAGUUAAUACACUAAAUAUCAGGUUCUUUGCUUGUGGUGACUGGUAAUGCACAGUAGAUUUUCCUGAUCCAUUUUAGUUUUUAUUUAUGUUUAAGAACCAUUAUGGAGGAUACUUGGUAUAUUUACCCCAAGUUUCUAUUUUGAGCCUUAAUAACACUCAUAAUGCCGCGAGAAUACCAUGGAUACUAAGGAAAAUUCCUACAUUACAUGAGAGAGUAAUGUUUAGAGCUAGUGUAUAAUUAAUGUUUUAGGUUAAACAUAAAAGUCUCAGGUUCAUUACUUUGUGGCCUAAAAUGUUGGCUACUGCCCUGUUAAAUUAAUACAACUCUGGGCACUGAAUUAUUAUUUGCCGCCAAGGAAGCAAUUUAUUUGUGUUCAUAUUUUCUUGCAACCCUCUGAUUUCUUCUUUCAAGAUUUUUCCUCUUCUUUUAAUAACCACAACAGCUAAUAAUGACAAAUGAAAACUAAAUCAUCCAAGAGUUUGAGCGGUAUAUGUCAUGAAUAUCAUGAUAAGGUUGUGAAGUUUACAAUUUGGGAACUGGAAAGGGUACAUCAGUCUUGGAGAUGGUUGCAACUUUUGAAAAGGCAUCUGGAAAGGUAGUUUUACUCUACUUCUUUUGCAUUUGUUUUCUAGAAACUUGAUAGGGUUUAGAUGCAUUGGUAGUUAGAUGCAUUGGUUCUCUAGUAGUUUCUUAGAUUGGAAAUGAUCUGUUUGAGAAUUCAAAUCAUACACUUUAGUUCGGGUAUCGACUUUUCAAAUAGAUUUAGCUCGAACACACUACCGAUGAGUUUCUUCCAAAAGUUAGUGCUUGUAAAGUAUAGCAAGUAAUUCUUCCUCAUACUACAUUAUAUGUAUCAAGGUGUGUUGGGCAUAAAACUUUUUAGUGCACAUCAAUGAGCUUUUAAAUCCUUUGCAAAUGUACAUACCUCUCACUUUGUUAUAGUUUUAUUGCCUCAUAAUGUAGUUUAGUUUUAUUGCCUCAUAAUGUAAAGGUUGUUGAGAAAGAAGACUUUGAAGAACCUAUAAAAUUAAAACUAUUUGAGUUAUAGUUUCAACUUGAAAUGGCUAGCAAGGAAUAAAUGACACUUUUGUUUUGACUUUUUAAAUUUAUUGCUAUUCUUAGUUUAUUGUUAGGUUUACUCUAGAUGAUUCGAGUUUCUAUUGCAUAAUACUUUUGUGAAAAAUAUGGUGUGACACUCAAAUUUUCAUCUCUACCGGCUAUACAUGCUCGUAAUUAUGCAAAGCCCAUUUUUAGCUUUGAGUUUUGUUAUUUGUUGUUGGUUUUGGACUUUGUGUGAAGUUUUGUAAUUAAUUUAGCUGAGUUUGUGGGCUGAAUUUGGUAUUUGCGAUUCUGUUUUUCUUCUUUUUCAUAUGGAUGAAUUUGUAGAUUUCUAUUUCUAGUGAUGAAAUUGUGCUUUGUGUACUUAAACAAUAGCAUAAUUUUGUGACCCGUAUAUGUAAGGCUUUCCAUUUGAAUACCCUCUACAUUUCCAAUACCAAGCUUAGAAGUUAUAGAAAAGAAUAAUUUACUAUCAAGCUUUGAAGUUACUAUUGUUGAAGUGUGUAUGUGCUUGUGUUGUUGAAGUGAAUGUGUUGUAUUGUUGAAUCAAUUUUGUUUCCUUUUACUUUCUUACUAGGUUUUGCCAGAAUCCAUUGGAGCAGGGAAGCCAUAUUUGCGGCAAUUCAUUGAUGUAUAAGCAUUUUUGUAGAUUUGGUAGGAAAAUUUAUGGUUUAAAUGUAGUUAUUUAAAUAGCUUGUUCAUAACAAACCAUAUAUGUACCAACACUUAAAGUGAUAUUAUAAAAUGUAUGUUUUUUAUGUUAAA